GGCGGCAGGCUUAACACAUGCAAGUCGAACGCUCAUAGCAAUAUGGGAGUGGCGCACGGGUGAGUAACGCGUGGGAAUAUGCCCUUUAGUUUGGGAUAACUACUGGAAACGGUAGCUAAUACCAGAUACGCCCUUCGGGGGAAAGAUUUAUCGCUAAAGGAUUAGCCCGCGUAAGAUUAGGUAGUUGGUGGGGUAAUGGCCUACCAAGCCUACGAUCUUUAGCUGGUCUGAGAGGAUGAUCAGCCACACUGGAACUGAGACACGGUCCAGACUCCUACGGGAGGCAGCAGUGGGGAAUAUUGGACAAUGGGCGAAAGCCUGAUCCAGCCAUGCCGCGUGUGUGAUGAAGGCCUUAGGGUUGUAAAGCACUUUUGUCAGGGAAGAUAAUGACGGUACCUGAAGAAUAAGCACCGGCUAACUUCGUGCCAGCAGCCGCGGUAAUACGAAGGGGGCUAGCGUUGCUCGGAAUCACUGGGCGUAAAGGGUGCGUA
This 491-nucleotide ribosomal RNA is filed under the name uncultured bacterium. Its description in RNAcentral is "bacterial SSU rRNA". It matches the Rfam family "Bacterial small subunit ribosomal RNA", at positions 38 to 573 of the family's 1533-position model. The record is from RNAcentral.